Molecule: transfer RNA, 52 nt
Filed under: Potentilla parvifolia
Lineage: Eukaryota; Viridiplantae; Streptophyta; Magnoliopsida; Rosales; Rosaceae
Description: partial tRNA-Val
Source: RNAcentral
UAAUCCAUACGUAAUUAACGUAAUUAGUUAAAUUUAUAUUUAAUUAUUUUAA